UAUAUCUUGCCGCCGGGUAAGAAAACCGAACGUUGGAUUCGUAUCAGUAGGCCUUUGAAGAUACGAACUUCCAGCGUUUUUUAUUUG
This 87-nucleotide non-coding RNA is filed under the name unclassified sequences. The record is from RNAcentral.